Molecule: ribosomal RNA, 497 nt
Filed under: uncultured bacterium
Lineage: Bacteria
Description: partial 16S ribosomal RNA
Rfam family: Bacterial small subunit ribosomal RNA
Source: RNAcentral
GAUGAACGCUGGCGGCGUGCCUAAUACAUGCAAGUCGAGCGAACAGACGAGGAGCUUGCUCCUCUGACGUUAGCGGCGGACGGGUGAGUAACACGUGGAUAACCUACCUAUAAGACUGGGAUAACUUCGGGAAACCGGAGCUAAUACCGGAUAAUAUAUUGAACCGCAUGGUUCAAUAGUGAAAGACGGCUUUGCUGUCACUUAUAGAUGGAUCCGCGCCGCAUUAGCUAGUUGGUAAGGUAACGGCUUACCAAGGCAACGAUGCGUAGCCGACCUGAGGGGGUGAUCGGCCACACUGGAACUGAGACACGGUCCAGACUCCUACGGGAGGCAGCAGUAGGGAAUCUUCCGCAAUGGGCGAAAGCCUGACGGAGCAACGCCGCGUGAGUGAUGAAGGUCUUCGGAUCGUAAAACUCUGUUAUUAGGGAAGAACAAAUGUGUAAGUAACUAUGCACGUCUUGACGGUACCUAAUCAGAAAGCCACGGCUAACUACGUG